CCUACGGGUGACAGCAGUAGGGAAUAUUGCUCAAUGGGGGAAACCCUGAAGCAGCGACGCCGCGUGGAGGAUGAAGGAUUUAGGAUUGUAAACUCCUAUCAGUAGAGAAGAUAAUGACGGUAUCUAACGAAUAAGCACCGGCUAACUCCGUGCCAGCAGCCGCGGUAAUACGGAGGGUGCAAGCGUUACUCGGAUUUACUGGGUGUAAAGGGUGCGUAGGCGGGGUACUAAGUCAGAUGUGAAAUGCUGUAGCUUAACUACAGAACUGCAUUUGAAACUGGUAAUCUAGAGUGUGGGAGGGGUAAGCGGAAUUCUUGGUGUAGGGGUGAAAUGCGUAGAGAUCAAGAGGAACACUGAUGGCGAAGGCGACUUACUGGAACAUUACUGACGCUGAGGCACGAAAGCGUGGGGAGCAAACAGGAUUAGAUACCCGAGUAGUC
This 440-nucleotide ribosomal RNA is filed under the name uncultured bacterium. RNAcentral describes it as "partial 16S ribosomal RNA". It matches the Rfam family "Bacterial small subunit ribosomal RNA", at positions 338 to 795 of the family's 1533-position model. The record is from RNAcentral.